RNAcentral lists this microRNA (24 nucleotides) under Gossypium raimondii (Peruvian cotton). RNAcentral describes it as "gra-miR8641". The record is from miRBase by way of RNAcentral. Lineage: Eukaryota; Viridiplantae; Streptophyta; Magnoliopsida; Malvales; Malvaceae.
UUUUUACUUUGGGACACUGAUGGC